CCACACCGCACAGCUGCCUGAGGGGAUGUGUCACUCAGGGAGUUGCUGGGACCCACUGGGCCAGCGUUGCCAUCAGCACCAACAGCUUCAGAGAGUGGGACACAGGCUGGGGUGACUCCAAGGCUGUGGGUGGCACCUGCCUCAGAGAAGGGACAGGCACAGAGACACUACUGGGAUACUGGCCACCCCCAUGCCCUGUGCCUAGGUCACAGCCCACACACUGCAGCCCUGUGCCCCUCACGCCCAGCAGGUUCCUGCUCCAGCACAGCUCCUGGACUGGCCCCAGGUGCUGGCCCCGGGGUUUUCGGGAAGCAUAAUUCAUGGAAGUAUGUGUUUGGCAGCGGGACCCAGCUCACUGUUUUAGGUCAGCCCAAGGCCACCCCCUCGGUCACUCUGUUCCUGCCAUCCUUUGAGGAGCUCCAAGCCAACAAGGCCACGCUGGUGUGUCUCAUGAGUGACUUCUAUCCGGGAAUCUUAAUGGUGACCUGGAGGGCAGAUGGUACCCCCAUCACCCAGGGCGUGGAGAUGACCACACCCUCCAAACAGAGCAAGAAGUACACAGCCAGCAGCUACCUGAGCCUGACGCCCGAGCAGUGGAGGUCCCGCAGAAGCUACAGCUGCCAGGUCACGCAUGAAGGGAGCACCGUGGAGAAGACAGUGGCCCCUGCAGAAUGUUCGUAGGUUCCCAACCCUCACCCCAGCCACAGGGGCCUGGAGCUGCAGGAUCCCAGGGGAGGGGUCUCUCUGCAUCCCAAGCCAGCCAGCCCUUCUCCCUGUACCCAGUAAACCCUCAAUAAAUAUUGUCUUGGU
This is an RNA transcript of Piliocolobus tephrosceles (Ugandan red Colobus), 810 nucleotides long. It is a transcript of the gene named immunoglobulin lambda-like polypeptide 1, with no coding region annotated. Lineage: Eukaryota; Metazoa; Chordata; Mammalia; Primates; Cercopithecidae. The record is from RefSeq and is a predicted model, not a curated record. The transcript is spliced from 2 exons.